Molecule: ribosomal RNA, 468 nt
Filed under: uncultured bacterium
Lineage: Bacteria
Description: partial 16S ribosomal RNA
Rfam family: Bacterial small subunit ribosomal RNA
Source: RNAcentral
GACGAACGCUGGCGGCGUGCUUAACACAUGCAAGUCGAACGGAAAGGCCCUGCUUUUGUGGGGUGCUCGAGUGGCGAACGGGUGAGUAACACGUGAGUAACCUGCCCUUGACUUUGGGAUAACUUCAGGAAACUGGGGCUAAUACCGGAUAGGAGCUCCUGCUGCAUGGUGGGGGUUGGAAAGUUUCGGCGGUUGGGGAUGGACUCGGGGCUUAUCAGCUUGUUGGUGGGGUAGUGGCUUACCAAGGCUUUGACGGGUAGCCGGCCUGGGAGGGUGACCGGCCACAUUGGGACUGAGAUACGGACCAGACUCGUACGGGAGGCAGCAGUGGGGAAUAUUGCACAAUGGGCGGAAGCCUGAUGCAGCAACUCCGCGUGCGGGAUGACGGCCUUCGGGUUGUAAACCGCUUUCGCAUGUGACGAAGCGUGAGUGACGGUAAUGGGUAAAGAAGCACCGGCUAACUACGUG